RNAcentral lists this ribosomal RNA (550 nucleotides) under uncultured Actinomycetes bacterium. RNAcentral's name for it is "bacterial SSU rRNA". It matches the Rfam family "Bacterial small subunit ribosomal RNA", at positions 355 to 897 of the family's 1533-position model. Lineage: Bacteria; Bacillati; Actinomycetota; Actinomycetes. The record is from RNAcentral.
UAGGGAAUCUUGCGCAAUGGGCGAAAGCCUGACGCAGCGACGCCGCGUGCGGGAAGAAGGCCUUCGGGUUGUAAACCGCUUUCAGGAGGGACGAAGCCACUCGGGUUAAUAGCCCAGAGGGUGACGGUACCUCCAGAAGAAGCCCCGGCUAACUACGUGCCAGCAGCCGCGGUAAUACGUAGGGGGCGAGCGUUGUCCGGAUUUAUUGGGCGUAAAGAGCGUGUAGGCGGCCAGGUAGGUCCGUUGUGAAAACUCGAGGCUCAACCUCGAGACGUCGAUGGAAACCAUCUGGCUAGAGUCCGGAAGAGGAGGGUGGAAUUCCUGGUGUAGCGGUGAAAUGCGCAGAUAUCAGGAAGAACACCUAUGGCGAAGGCAGCUCUCUGGGACGGUACUGACGCUGAGACGCGAAAGCGUGGGGAGCGAACAGGAUUAGAUACCCUGGUAGUCCACGCCGUAAACGAUGGGAACUAGGUGUGGGCGGUGUCGACUCCGUCCGUGCCGAAGCUAACGCAUUAAGUUCCCCGCCUGGGGAGUACGGCCGCAAGGCUAA